UGGGGAAUAUUGGACAAUGGGCGCAAGCCUGAUCCAGCCAUGCCGCGUGAGUGAUGAAGGCCCUAGGGUUGUAAAGCUCUUUCACCGGUGAAGAUAAUGACGGUAACCGGAGAAGAAGCCCCGGCUAACUUCGUGCCAGCAGCCGCGGUAAUACGAAGGGGGCUAGCGUUGUUCGGAAUUACUGGGCGUAAAGCGCACGUAGGCGGACAUUUAAGUCAGGGGUGAAAUCCCGGGGCUCAACCCCGGAACUGCCUUUGAUACUGGGUGUCUAGAGUUCGAGAGAGGUGAGUGGAAUUCCGAGUGUAGAGGUGAAAUUCGUAGAUAUUCGGAGGAACACCAGUGGCGAAGGCGGCUCACUGGCUCGAUACUGACGCUGAGGUGCGAAAGCGUGGGGAGCAAAACAGGAUUAGAUACCCUGGUAGUCCACGCCGUAAACGAUGGAAGCCAGCUGUCGGCAAGUUUACUUGUCGGU
RNAcentral lists this ribosomal RNA (472 nucleotides) under uncultured bacterium. Its description in RNAcentral is "partial 16S ribosomal RNA". It matches the Rfam family "Bacterial small subunit ribosomal RNA", at positions 355 to 844 of the family's 1533-position model. The record is from RNAcentral.